GAUGAACGCUGGCGGCGUGCCUAAUACAUGCAAGUCGAGCGAACAGACGAGGAGCUUGCUCCUCUGACGUUAGCGGCGGACGGGGGAGUAACACGUGGAUAACCUACCUAUAAGACUGGGAUAACUUCGGGAAACCGGAGCUAAUACCGGAUAAUAUAUUGAACCGCAUGGUUCAAUAGUGAAAGACGGUUUUGCUGUCACUUAUAGAUGGAUCCGCGCCGCAUUAUCUAGUUGGUAAGGUAACGGCUUACCAAGGCGACGAUGCGUAGCCGACCUGAGAGGGUGAUCGGCCACACUGGAACUGAGACACGGUCCAGACUCCUACGGGAGGCAGCAGUAGGGAAUCUUCCGCAAUGGGCGAAAGCCUGACGGAGCAACGCCGCGUGAGUGAUGAAGGUCUUCGGAUCGUAAAACUCUGUUAUUAGGGAAGAACAAAUGUGUAAGUAACUAUGCACGUCUUGACGGUACCUAAUCAGAAAGCCACGGCUAACUACGUG
RNAcentral lists this ribosomal RNA (497 nucleotides) under uncultured bacterium. RNAcentral describes it as "partial 16S ribosomal RNA". It matches the Rfam family "Bacterial small subunit ribosomal RNA", at positions 28 to 507 of the family's 1533-position model. The record is from RNAcentral.